RNAcentral lists this ribosomal RNA (708 nucleotides) under Triticum aestivum (bread wheat). Its description in RNAcentral is "partial small subunit ribosomal RNA". The record is from RNAcentral. Lineage: Eukaryota; Viridiplantae; Streptophyta; Magnoliopsida; Poales; Poaceae.
AUGUAUCGGCACCACCCUACCGGCGAGUACCGGAUACUAGUGUAUGGUAAAAACAAGGAAACCGAUUAUCGUCAUGAGGAGGAAAUCUGUUUCUAUGAUGAUGCCUGCUACAUCUUGGCAUUGGGCUCCGUCCAGCCAUUGAGGAACAUCGGGUGCCCGCCGAAGGUUGAGCAACUGCUUUUACACCGUGAGGCUACGACAGCUGUUCUGUUUCGUGGCAACCUGCAUUGGCACAUAGACCAAAAUGAGACUGAAAGCAACAUGAUAGUGGUAUUCGACACCACAGCUGAGUCGUUCCGGCAGAUGCAUGCUCCAGUUGUUCCGGUUUUUAGAAAUGUUCCUGCCUAUGCUGACUUGUUUGACAUGGAUGGCGUGCUUGGCAUGCUAAGUUGUAAUGAGGCCGCGGACACCAUCGAUAUUUGGGUGUUGCAGGACUAUGAAAGCGAGGUCUGGACCUUCAAGUGCAAGAUUGAAUUGCUGGUCAUUGAGAUCAAGGUAUUGUGUGGACAAUAUGAUGAUUGUUGGUAUGCCGUGGUCAUGCAUGUGGAUGGUGAGUUGCUUGUGCUAGUCCAGUAUGCCGAAUGGCUACUUCAGAUUGACAUGGAUGGCAAGUUCGUCGCCACUUUCCAUCGCCAUUCACUCAGUCUUACUAAAUUGCAGUUCAAACAAACUCUUGUUCCACAUACUUUCUUUUUGACACUAGAAUAA